This is a long non-coding RNA of Aquila chrysaetos chrysaetos, 4183 nucleotides long. RefSeq lists it as uncharacterized. The transcript has 2 exons. NCBI's taxonomy places the organism in Eukaryota, Metazoa, Chordata, Aves, Accipitriformes, Accipitridae. The record is from RefSeq and is a predicted model, not a curated record.
GCAAUUAAGGCUGAGCUCCACAAGUACGGGGGAAGUAAGCUGUUUCUCUUCCCCAGCCCAGCACAAGAAAGGCUCCCCACUGGCCACGCCAACAACCGUGUGGAAGUGUCAUUCCCCUUCCUGAGUCCCCACCAUGUCCUGAAUGAGGGAGGAUGAGCAAUAAGCCUCUACAUUUCAUUUCGGCAGUAAUCCACGGUGCAGCUUUUCCAGCGCAGCUCUGCCACCUCCCUCCCUUUCCUUUCAAGCCAAGCUGGAGCGACAAGCCUGGGUGGGGAGAGCCUGAACAAUGAACACGGCCAAAAUGUGGAAACUUCCCUAGGCGCUUAGCAGGGGAAAAAAAGCAGAAGAAAGAAAAAGGAAGAAAAAAAAAAAAAGGCUCUGAUCAGACUGUGCAAGCAGUAAACCAGCAGCAUCGCCCUGUGAAACACAAGUUUUCCAUGCCCUGUCAGAGAGAGGUUUUAAUUAGGGUCUCCCAAUGCUAAUUGCUCUUGAUUCCUCUAGUGGUUUUACUUAAGGCACCCAUUUUAACAACCACACAAGCGAACCUGUAGCUGGCUCCACGGCAUAUUAUUUUAGCUCUCAGAAAGCACCCCAAGAAGGAUUAGGAUUGAUAAUAAAACCCAAUCGAUACUUUCCCCCUUCUCCUCCUUGAGAUCAAAGGCACUGAGCAGGAGGAAGAGUCCCAACCCAUCCUUACUGGGGGAGGACGGAGACAGGAGAGCAGGAAACAAGAAGACAAUGCGCCAUCAAAGCUGCCGCAAGGUGUUGGAUCAAUGACAACAUCUGCGUGAGGGUCUGGGCUACAAUAGAGGCUGUUACCAUGGGAACGGGCGCAAAAGCAUCAGGAGGGAGGGAGCAGGCGAUGAUGAAAGGUGGGAAAGCGGGAGAGAGUAUUUUUAGAUCGCUUAGGAGGAACGCUACACAAUGACAUCAUCCUAUCUCAUUAUUUGCACCCGUGCUGUAAAACGCAUUGUGGCGUCUGCCCCAGGCUGUUAAAUGGGAAAAUGUUAUUAUGGAUGUGAAUUAUAAAUACUGUGGUGAAACCUGAGCUCAGGAGUUAUUAGACAUCACUAUUCUGUAAUAAAGGAGAGCAUUUAAUACACUGUGCUGUACAGAGUCACUGUACGGUGCAAGAAGCAUUGUGUCUAGGAUUUUAAUAUUCUCAGAAAGUAAUUAUGAGUCAUCCUUUUAUUGUUAUUAAGAAGCGGAGUGCAAAUAAUUUUACACAUUUGAUAUCCCACACAUCAACAAGCCUUUUGCACUGGAGAAACAUGGCCUAAUUUUCCAGAGCGCUGCCUGCCAACGUGCUCCGAGUGAAUGUGGUAGUAGUCGUGGGUGCUCAGCACUGCCAAAAAUCCAGCCAUCCGUGUCACAUGCGAAAGAAGCCUCAUUAAUCUCGAAAAUACAAAGUGUACGUUUCACUGCCUGUGUUCAGCUCCUUCGGCAGGGCCAGACCCCUCUUACAGCUAACGACCCAGUAGAUACCCAUGGCAUCUGCUGAAUAUAGCCCUGGUUCGGGGGGCGGGGGGGGGGAAUUCUGGCUCUCAGGCACGGCUCCCGGCGGACAAACAGAGGAGAAAGCCUCCAGCCUGGAGAGGUGAAACAAGCCGGGGUUCGUCCGCCUUGCGCCGGGACGCGGGUGCCCGGAGCCCACCACCCUGGCGAGGCUGGAAUCGCUAUUCCCGUCAUGCCGCCGGAAGGAUAAACCCAGAGGAACGUGUUUCUUGUGGCUGCAGAAGUCUGAUCCUGCUCUCUGCCCUGGAAUAACCAUCGGUUAUUCGCCAGAGCGUGUCGGGGGCCACCGGGGCCUGUCACCGGAGAUGGGCAGGGACUGAAAUUCCCAACCCGCGCCGACACCCGCCGACGCUGCCAAAAUACCGCCGGGCGAGCGACGGGGCCGGCCCGAGCUUUCGCCCUGUGCGAAGCGAAACACGUGGGUCCUCAGACGUCUGUUUUCGCCCUCGGGACUAACCCCCGCCUCAGCGGGCGAGAGCGAGCAGGAGGAGGGUAACCGCCGCGGUGCCGGGCCCCGCGGCCGGGGGAGCGGGCACGGGGCAGGCAGCAGCGCACAGGCCGGCGAGGCGCGAGCUAGGCCGAUGGCACGCCGCGGCGAUCCUCCUGGACGAGCUCCAUAUACCCCCCCUCGCCCGCCGCCCCCCGCCGCGGUGGCCCCCCUCGUCCCAAGGGCGCCGGCGGGCGCGGGUGGGCCGGGGGCCCCGGCCUCCCCUGCCCUGCCGUAAAAGGCACUGGUGCGCAGCCCGGCCAACUGGGGAAACAGAGCAAGAAAUAGCACGGAGAUGAUGGCGGAUGAGCAGAAAUACACGCGAGCCAGGGACUUGCCCCCUGGCUGGAGGCCGGCGUUGCUUAAAGCGAGGACAACAGGUAGCAAAACCUGGUUUUUUAUUUUUGUGUUACCCUGCGGUCAUGGUGUGCAACUCUUCUCUCUGUUCAAGCUCUCCUUCCUCACAGAAGAUGUGACUCUUUAAAUAUAUAAUAAAUAGUGAAACAUGCUGAUGUGUGUGUGCGCUACUUCUGAUCCGUCUUCGGGAGGAGAAGAUGAACGUUACCCAACACAGCGUAGCUCAGACUGCCAAGGGUCCCAUAGGGCACGUCUGCAAAGCAGGACUAGGAAAGGUGAGUGAAUUUAGCUGAGCCAGAAAUAACAACACCUGAAGACAUUUUCUUUCCUAGUCUAAAUACGACUUUCUAGCUCCAGCAUCCCUGAGCCUGUUGUACUUAAAUCUCCUGACUUAACUAGACCAUGCCUGAAACAGCAGCCUUUUUUAUGGUAUCAUUGGCUAACUUGACCUAUUCUGCACAUUGGCUUCAUUCAGCUUAACCUCACCCCCCUUUCCUAGUUAAGCUAGUGCCCAGCACAAUGCUGAAUAACUUUUGCUUUCUUCCUGGCAGCUCUUUUUUGGCACUUCUCAUUUUAUUUUAUUUUUGAGGAAGGAGGUUAGGGUUCUACAUCUUACAAUAUUAGUGUUGGAUAUAGAUGAAACAAUAUUUCAUACAACUUAUCAUUUAAUUUGUAUUAUAUGUUAGCUUUGGCAGGGCAGGCAUUGUAGUCAUGCCAGUAGAGAAACUUUGAUCUGAAUGAGUGUAAAACCCAGCCAGGCUUGAAGUAGGGUUGCAGAAAAUAAUUUCAAAUAUUAAAAAUCUGGCAUGUGCUUUUUGGGGUACAGGUGCUGGUGGUGCCUGAAAUAUCCCAUUUUAUAUGAGGCAUGACCUCUCUGCAAAAAUCAAGGACCAUUUUAGGACAACGUACAACUUGGGAUGAGGAGUCACUCUGGACACGUGUGGAAUUCACCAGACACAUUUUGGGCACUGCCCCAACCUGAAUCACAGCAGUUGUGGACAUGUACGGCUUGAGGGACCUCCAGAGAUCAUCCAGCCCCUCUUCCCCUCCCCUUCCCUCUCUUCCUGUCUGAUAUCCCUGUCUGAUAUUUGUUUAACCUUUUUAAAAUAUCUUUGGUGACAGGAACAGCCCUCUGCCAGGGCUAACCUCUCCUGCUGGUUACAGCAUGUUUUUCCUUUAGCUCUAACUCAACUCACUCUCACCGAGAAACAGCUCACCUUCUCCUCUGCCUACCUGAAGACUAGUUGGUCUAAUGGCAAUCUUUACAUAUGUGACAUGUUGCCAGGUCUGCCCUCAUCCUCCACUCUUCCAGCCUGGACAAACCGGCUCUUUCAACCUUUUCCUAUAAGCCAUGUCUUCCAGGCUACCACCAUGUCCUGCUCUCUUCUGCGCUUGCCUGCAUCGUCCCUGGAGAAGUGGGAUGACAUCCUCUGCCCAGCUCAGCCCUGAGGAGGGAGGAAUGAUGAUUUCCCCAGCCCCACAUCUGGCGUGACCACUGGCACCUCCCGGUUGGCCCCUUCCCAGUCCCGGACCACCAGCUGCUGCCUUGCCUGGACCUCCCCUGCUCUGCUGCUGCUGGACCAGCCCUUCCCCACGGCAUCGUUAUCCGCUUGAGUCCUCCUUCUAAGUGUGUGCUGUGCACUGCCCUGUAUUGAAUUUCAUUUUAUUGAUCUCAGACUAUUUCUCCCAUUUGUCAAGACCACUUUGAUUUCUAGCCCUCCAAAGUGCUUGCAAAGUGUGCUUCCCCACCUGGAGGUACCCACAGAUUUUAAAGUGUGCUUUCUAUCCCAUUACCCUCCUCGUUAAUAAAUAAUAGCAGCACGA